GACGAACGCUGGCGGCGUGCUUAACACAUGCAAGUCGAACGGAAAGGCCCUGCUUUUGUGGGGUGCUCGAGUGGCGAACGGGUGAGUAACACGUGAGUAACCUGCCCUUGACUUUGGGAUAACUUCAGGAAACUGGGGCUAAUACCGGAUAGGAGCUCCUGCUGCAUGGUGGGGGUUGGAAAGUUUCGGCGGUUGGGGAUGGACUCGCGGCUUAUCAGCUUGUUGGUGGGGUAGUGGCUUACCAAGGCUUUGACGGGUAGCCGGCCUGAGAGGGUGACCGGCCACAUUGGGACUGAGAUACGGCCCAGACGCCUACGGGAGGCAGCAGGGGGGAAUAUUGAACAAUGGGCGGAAGCCUGAUGCAGCAACGCCGCGUGCGGGAUGACGGCCUUCGGGUUGUAAACCGCUUUCGCCUGUGACGAAGCGUGAGUGACGGUAAUGGGUAAAGAAGCACCGGCUAACUACGUG
RNAcentral lists this ribosomal RNA (468 nucleotides) under uncultured bacterium. RNAcentral describes it as "partial 16S ribosomal RNA". It matches the Rfam family "Bacterial small subunit ribosomal RNA", at positions 28 to 507 of the family's 1533-position model. The record is from RNAcentral.